RNAcentral lists this ribosomal RNA (791 nucleotides) under uncultured bacterium. RNAcentral describes it as "bacterial SSU rRNA". It matches the Rfam family "Bacterial small subunit ribosomal RNA", at positions 8 to 796 of the family's 1533-position model. The record is from RNAcentral.
AGAGUUUGAUCAUGGCUCAGAUUGAACGCUGGCGGCAUGCCUUACACAUGCAAGUCGAACGGCAGCACGGGGGCAACCCUGGUGGCGAGUGGCGAACGGGUGAGUAAUACAUCGGAACGUGUCCUGUAGUGGGGGAUAGCCCGGCGAAAGCCGGAUUAAUACCGCAUACGCUCUACGGAGGAAAGGGGGGGAUCUUAGGACCUCCCGCUACAGGGGCGGCCGAUGGCAGAUUAGCUAGUUGGUGGGGUAAAGGCCUACCAAGGCGACGAUCUGUAGCUGGUCUGAGAGGACGACCAGCCACACUGGGACUGAGACACGGCCCAGACUCCUACGGGAGGCAGCAGUGGGGAAUUUUGGACAAUGGGCGCAAGCCUGAUCCAGCAAUGCCGCGUGUGUGAAGAAGGCCUUCGGGUUGUAAAGCACUUUUGUCCGGAAAGAAAACGUCGUGGUUAAUACCCGUGGCGGAUGACGGUACCGGAAGAAUAAGCACCGGCUAACUACGUGCCAGCAGCCGCGGUAAUACGUAGGGUGCAAGCGUUAAUCGGAAUUACUGGGCGUAAAGCGUGCGCAGGCGGUCCGCUAAGACAGAUGUGAAAUCCCCGGGCUUAACCUGGGAACUGCAUUUGUGACUGGCGGGCUAGAGUAUGGCAGAGGGGGGUAGAAUUCCACGUAGCAGUGAAAUGCGUAGAGAUGUGGAGGAAUACCGAUGGCGAAGGCAGCCCCCUGGGCCAAUACUGACGCUCAUGCACGAAAGCGUGGGGAGCAAACAGGAUUAGAUACCCCAGUAGUCC